This 253-nucleotide ribosomal RNA is filed under the name uncultured bacterium. RNAcentral's name for it is "partial 16S ribosomal RNA". It matches the Rfam family "Bacterial small subunit ribosomal RNA", at positions 524 to 776 of the family's 1533-position model. The record is from RNAcentral.
UACGUAGGGCGCAAGCGUUGUUCGGAAUUACUGGGCGUAAAGGGCUCGUAGGCGGCCAACUAAGUCGGACGUGAAAUCCCUCAGCUUAACUGGGGAACUGCGUCUGAUACUGGAUGGCUUGGAUUUGGGAGAGGGAUGCGGAAUUCCAGGUGUAGCGGUGAAAUGCGUAGAUAUCUGGAGGAACACCGGUGGCGAAGGCGGCAUCCUGGACCAACAUUGACGCUGAGGAGCGAAAGCCAGGGGAGCAAACGGG